GGGGGUUAUGGUUCCCACAUUAUUGCAAGACAAGACUCUUCUUCCUCCCAUUGAAUCAAGAGCAAAAAUACACCAUUGUUGUCUUGCAAAUAAUUGUGAAAAACCAUAUACCAAUUUUGAUCAUUGUCAUAUUAUUAUUGUGAGUAAAUUCACAUAUUGUUUAAAGUCUUGUGAAGUAUUCUUGUGGUGACAUACAACUUCAAGACAUUCUUGAAGAAAGGUUAAAGGAGCAAUCUUCAUAAGGACUCAAAGACAAUCAUCAAAGGAGGUCUUGUGGUGACAUACAACUUCAAGACAUUCUUGAAGAAGGUUUAAAGGAGCAAUCUUCAUAAGGACUUAAGGACAAUCAUCAAAAGGAGGUUCAACAAUUUCCACACAUGAAUUCAGGUUAGCUUCCGCUCAUGUAGUUUAAUUCCGAAUUGUUCAAUAUGAA
Molecule: long non-coding RNA, 433 nt
Filed under: Nicotiana benthamiana
Lineage: Eukaryota; Viridiplantae; Streptophyta; Magnoliopsida; Solanales; Solanaceae
Description: long non-coding RNA (NBEN_LNC013400)
Source: RNAcentral